UUCGCGGUGAGCUGAGGUCACAGAGGAGCUGGACACUGGGGGGGCACAAUUAUUGAUUGUAAACUGUUUAUAAAGAUUUGGAACCAAAAGAAUAUAACCAGAAAUUCAGUAUGUUAGCGAGAAUACCGUCUCCCUUCUGCCUUUCGAAACAAGCGACCUAAUUUGUUAAUCCCGACCACAGGGAUUGAUUGAACUGAUUACGUUAUAAAGACUGCCGGCGCCGAACCGGCUUCUAGCGAAAAUUUUAACACGUAGUUUUAGCAAAGAGUCGAAACCUCGCUCAAGACCCACCAGCUGCUCAGGAAAAAGCAAGGUCGGCCAAAGUUUUCCGUCUCAGUGCUCCACAUCGGAGGCUCAACGGUCCCAUUCCUCACGAAGCCGCCGCACUGCGCGUGCGCAAACUACUGUCGCUCGGGAAACCAGCCUUGAAGAAAAAAAGGCGGGAGCAACCAAUCCCUGGUGACGCAAAAUGGCGCCGGGAGAUGAGAUGCGAAAAUUCACUCGCAGCUUCUUUCGAGCUUGCCCGGACCUCAGCUCGGUUACGCACGCCAUCGUGCGACAGAAAUUUUUGAUUCACGUGGGUCGGGAUCAUCUUGAACCUGAAGAGAAGCAGGCGUUGAAGCGGCUGGUGGAGGAGGAGCUGCCGAAAAUGCAGGCGGAUGCUGGUACCAGGGAAGGAAAGCCAGACUUUAUCAAAGUGAAGAGGUCUCCUGCUCCCUGCAGUGACCCAAAGAAGAAAAGGUUCCGCUUUAAUUCAGAGUCAGAAUCCAGCUCUUCACCAUCCAGUCCAGAUGGCUCAGGACCCUCAACAAAGAACAGGACAACCAAGAAGACAUGUCUAAGAAGAGCCUUAAAGAAAGCAGUUGAGAGCACAGAUGAAGACCACCAAACAGACCUGGAUGCAAAGAUGGGAUUGGAGGAGAGCAGUGAGGGGGAAGCAGAGGGCUCUGUUAGAUCAGGUAAGGUCACCGAGGAAGAGGAGGACAUGAAACAAGAACAGAAGGGCCAGGUUAGAAAGCAAGCUGGGGCCAAAGACAAGCAAGUACCACUCAAGGCAGACAGGAAGCAGGUUAGGGAAGAGAGUGGGAGCAGUGAGGAGGAGGCUGUGCUGCAGAGAGCAAAGGUGGAGGGAAGCACAGGUGCUAACUGCCAGGAGGAGAGUGAAGAGAGCGGAGAGGAGAGCCCAGCUAAGAAGAAAGAGCUUAGUGAGCCCAGAUCCAGAAGUAACAGAGCAGAGAGAACAGCCAGGGAGAGAAAGAGCUAUAAGCAGAAAAGCAGGCCUGGGAGGCCAACUGGAGGCUUGCGAGACAGCGAGGCAGAGAAGGAAGGGGGCACAGUGGGCAGUGGGGACAGCAGUGAGGAGGGGGAGGCAGAGAAGGAAGGAGGCACAGUGGGCAGUGGGGACAGCAGUGAGAAGGGGGAGGCAGAGAAGGAAGAGGGCACAGUGGGUAGUGGGGACAGCAGUGAGGAGGGAGAAGAGCACUCGGUGAAGAGAAAGAGCAAGGUCAGGACCCAGACCGAGAGUGGGAGGAGGCAGAACACAAGCAGCAGGGAUGACAGUAACAGCACACAGGAGCAAGCAGCUGCUCAAGGCACUACAAAGUCAGGCAGCCUAGGCAGCAGUAAUGGUGACAGUGACACAGAGAGGGAAGUGAGUGACUCCCAGGCAGGACAAAACACCAAAGAGGAGAGGAAGAGCCGCUCUUCCAACAAGAGCUCCAAGAACGGCCAGGCCCGAAGUUGUUCAUCUUCAUCAGAUUCGAGUCCAGAACCCACAGGUCAGAAGGGCAAGGCCCGAAGUUCCUCAUCUUCAUCAGAUUCAGGUCCAGAACCCACAGGUCGGAAGGGAACCCUUCCUUGGAGAAGUGUCGCGCUCUGAAGCUGCAGCGGGAAGAGGCAGCUGAAGUGGCUGCCCUGGAUGUUGCCAACAUCAUCAGCAGUACAGGCCGGCCACGAAGACGAAAUGCCUGGAACCCUUCAGGGGAAGGGACCUCCCCAGGAGAGACUUAUCGCCGAACCCUGGACUCAGAAGAGGAGCAGCCGCGCCAAGCACCUCCAGACUGGUCCCAUAUGCGUGAUAUCAUCAGCAGUGACGGUGACAGCAGCUGAACUCCCGUGUCCAUGGUGGACCUUACCCUGUUAUACAAGAGCCUGGUCAGUGGAAGCAACUUCCAAAGACAGACUACAGUGGCAGGAUCCAAGUUAUUGGCACACUACUCAAUUUCAUGUUCUCUAAGAUGGCCUUGGGGUUCAUGUGCAAGCAUCCUCUCCAGGCAUUUGAGUGGACUGUUGUUUGUUUUUAAAGACUCAAUAAAAAAUGUUUGUAAUUACUUCAUCCAAA
This is an RNA transcript of Mus musculus (house mouse), 2341 nucleotides long. It is a transcript of the gene named HIRA interacting protein 3, with no coding region annotated. The record is from RefSeq and is marked validated. The transcript is spliced from 6 exons. NCBI's taxonomy places the organism in Eukaryota, Metazoa, Chordata, Mammalia, Rodentia, Muridae.